ACAGGAACUCCAGAACAAUCUGACACUCCAGUGUCUGCUACUGACAUGUGUUCCCUUGCUGAAUGGCCAUCCCAUGCUCGCCGCAACCGUGCACUACUACAGGAUGAAGCUGGUGGACAGAAGAAGAAAGGGCGAGGUGUUCUAAAAGGUUUUAAAGCAUCUAAGAAGCGUUUUGCCAAUGGAUCUGCAAAGCUAAGUAUUACAUUCUCUGAAAAAUUGGGUGGUACAGUAGGAAUGAACUAUCGUUCGUUCAAGGAUGACGUGGUAGUCAUAAUGAAAAGAAAGUUACCACUCAUUGGAGUGAGGACGUGCUCCACUUACAAGGCAUACAUAACAGAUGCAGCUAGAUUGGCUAAUCUGCCGGAAGAUUUGCAACUAGAAGAGUGGGAGUGGAUGAUUGAGUACUUUGGCACUGAUUCAAAAUUUCAGGAUCGCAGCCAAAAGAACGCCGAUAACCGUAAGAAACAGAAGACAAAACACAUAAUCGGAUCAAAAUCUUACUCGCAAGUUAGUUUUCAGAAGAGAAACUUGGAAACUGGAGAAGAGCCAGAUUGUAUUGCUCUGUGGGAACUCACCCACACGAACGAUGGAACAUGGUCUAACACAGAUUCCCAGAAAGUUUACGACAAAGCACUUCAAGAGGUUAAAAUCAAAGAAACUGAAACUGAAGGUCCACUUUCAAGUGAGCAGAAAAACAAUAUUUUCCAGACCGCUUACAAAGACACUCUGGAAUGCAAGUCAUCGCAGCCUCGUGGGUACAGAUACAUGGCCAAAACUUCAACUGGUUCUGAAAGGUUUCGUAUCCAGAUCGAAGAGCAAGCUCGUGCUACAGCAGCCACCCAGGAGCGAAACUCUCAGCUCAGCCAGCAGGUCAACGAAUUAGAAGAUCAACUACAAGCUGAACGUGCAAACACACAAGAGAGGAUUAACUUGGAGCAUGCUGAGAGAGAACAACUUGAGGAGAGGUUAAAAGAAGAGUGUGCUGAAAGGGAAAGAUUGUUGCAAGAGGAGCGAACAUCAAGACUGGAAUUUGAAAGAAACAUGAUGGCAAAGUUUGUAGAAUUGAGCCAACAGAUGGGAACCCAACAGGUGCCUAUGAAGAGGGUUGACAAAGAAAAUUGUAAUCCAAACUUGCAAAAUAUUCUUUUACAGGGAUCUAGUCCUAAUAAGACUCCAGGUUCAAGGCCAACUGCUAUUUCUUCAAAUGCGCUCAUACAAGCUGCAGCAAGGCAUUCUCGAAUGUUUAAAGAUGUCAUGAGC
This 1260-nucleotide ribosomal RNA is filed under the name Triticum aestivum (bread wheat). Its description in RNAcentral is "partial small subunit ribosomal RNA". Lineage: Eukaryota; Viridiplantae; Streptophyta; Magnoliopsida; Poales; Poaceae. The record is from RNAcentral.